Non-coding RNA from Acanthosepion pharaonis, 98 nucleotides. NCBI's taxonomy places the organism in Eukaryota, Metazoa, Mollusca, Cephalopoda, Sepiida, Sepiidae. The record is from the annotation of a GenBank genome assembly.
AUUGAAAUACCCAUUCCCGUAUGAUCACCGAAAUUGAGCAACGUCAAGCCUGGUCAGUACUUAGAUGGGUGACCGCUUGGGAAUACCAGGUUCUGUAA